Molecule: non-coding RNA, 249 nt
Organism: Odocoileus virginianus texanus
Lineage: Eukaryota; Metazoa; Chordata; Mammalia; Artiodactyla; Cervidae
Source: RefSeq, a predicted model, not a curated record
CAUCAUGCAAAUACCCCUAAUUAAGAAAGCCAGACAGAUUCUGUGUCAUGGAAACAUAAUUUCCUUUGACUCAGUGUUCCUUGGAUAGGAAGCUGCAAAUGGAGAUAUCAGAGGAGUCUUACCAGUGGAAGUGUGGUGGGAAAUGCACUUGGAUCCCAUGGUCAAUGUAGCCAUCAGUGGUCAUGUUGGCCCAGCUGGCACCCUCUUGACCAACAGGGCCUCUCCAACCUUAACAGGGAUUGCCAAUGC